Long non-coding RNA from Pogoniulus pusillus (Red-fronted tinkerbird), 342 nucleotides. RefSeq lists it as uncharacterized. The transcript has 3 exons. NCBI's taxonomy places the organism in Eukaryota, Metazoa, Chordata, Aves, Piciformes, Lybiidae. The record is from RefSeq and is a predicted model, not a curated record.
ACAUUGUUUGUAUGACUUGCUAAGCCAAGGACGGCACAGAUGCUAGAGGGAAACAGCAAGAAAACCAAUUAGAGCAAGAUGCACAUUUCAAGCAGGAACAGCAGAAGCCCUCUCCAAGAAAGAUGCAAACACUGGAUUGUUGUAUUAAGAUGCAGCAUUACCACUGCUGCUAAGCAUACUCCAAGAGAUCACAGGAAAUGAGGACAACAGAAAGCUGCAGAUCCCAUGAAUGUAAAAAUUGUCUUGAAGGCAAAGAACAAUUCAGCCCUAAUUACAACCAGCUGGAGUCUGCUCUCUUCGCACUGAUACUUCGAUAAUUAACCAAAUCCUGAUGCAAGACUG